CCUACGGGAGGCAGCAGUGGGGAAUAUUGGGUAAUGGGCGCAAGCCUGACCCAGCAACGCCGCGUGAAGGAAGAAGGCUUUCGGGUUGUAAACUUCUUUUGUCAGGGACGAAGCAAGUGACGGUACCUGACGAAUAAGCCACGGCUAACUACGUGCCAGCAGCCGCGGUAAUACUGAGGUGGCAAGCGUUAUCCGGAUUUACUGGGUGUAAAGGGCGUGUAGGCGGGACUGCAAGUCAGAUGGGCAAACCACGGGCUCAACCUGUGGCCUGCAUUUGAAACUGUAGUUCUUGAGUACUGGAGAGGCAGACGGAAUGCCUGGUGUAGCGGUGAAAGGCGUAGAUAUUAGGAGGAACACCAGUGGCGAAGGCGGUCUGCUGGAAAGCAACUGACGCUGAGGCGCGAAAGCGUGGGGAGCAAACAGGAUUAGAUACCCUUGUAGUC
RNAcentral lists this ribosomal RNA (443 nucleotides) under uncultured bacterium. RNAcentral's name for it is "partial 16S ribosomal RNA". It matches the Rfam family "Bacterial small subunit ribosomal RNA", at positions 338 to 795 of the family's 1533-position model. The record is from RNAcentral.